Molecule: long non-coding RNA, 2248 nt
Organism: Cyprinus carpio (common carp)
Lineage: Eukaryota; Metazoa; Chordata; Actinopteri; Cypriniformes; Cyprinidae
Source: Ensembl
GAUAUGUUUAUGCUGGGUGUGUUUGCUAUUAUCUUUACGCUUGGUUUCAGUCUGCAGGGCGUCACGGGUGGGUCAUUCUCAGGGUCAAAGGUCUGCUGCAGACGAACUUGUCACGGUGGCAGAGAGAGGGUGAAUAAGAGGUCUUCUCCCGUGGAUGAUUCUUCUGAGCUGGGUGCCGACAGACGGCUGGUCCUCAGGGUUUUUGUGUGGAUGUGUCUGGCAGAUGUUGUGCUCUUCUGGGGCCGCCGGGUUCUUCCUUCCUCCCGGAUCGUCUGCUGUGACCCGUGACACUCCUCCUAGACCACUGUCACGCGGCCUAAGGAGACAGGCUUGCACUAUGAAUGAGGGAAUAUCCUGCACAGAUACGGCCUGCUUGGGAAAACCGAGCAAGCGAUGCAGUUCAGGUGGGAAGGAAGGGAGGUCCGUUUUUGGAAGGCCUUGGCAGAUCCUCCCGAUCGGAUGGAGCAUAUUCGGUUCACGUGCGGCGACUGAAUGCCUUCCAAUGUUUGCAGACACUGAUGGAUGAGAACAUAACGACGUGCCGACGGACAGACCACAUCUCUGAGAAAAAACUGUGAAUAUGGCAAUUCAUCUUGAAACUGGAAGGCCUGGAAGCGGUUGGAGCUGCAGUGUUGGGCGUCUGAAACGCACAAAUGUUUGGUUUCUGUUUACAUUUGAGUUUUUCUGCGUUUCUGCUCACUGCCGUUUCAUCUGUGAGAGCAGUUUUCUGUUUUAUUUAAGAGCUUAUAAGAUUACAGUUCCGCUCGGUUUCUGCUUUUUCUCAAGGAUAUUGCGACGGGCAACAGUGAUGAUGGUUUUAUGACCGAAUUUAGUGAGGUUUAUGCAUGAAGCAUGACAGGUUGUAAGAUACUGUACAUUCUGUAAAAACAAGAUUUAAUAUUAAAUGCAAUUUGCUUUCUCGGGUAAAUGUAGGCCUGUCAUGUGGUGAAUAAGAACAAAAUACAGUAUGCUUAUAUGUUUUAAAAAAUAUUUGUAUUUUAGUUGUAGCUGGUUAGUUGAACAGUUACAUGUAAAGAGCCACUGGUUUAAAAAAAAAAAAAAAACACUAUAAUUUAAAUGUAUAUUUACUGUUCAAAAGAUUUUUGUUGGAAAAUGCUCACCAAAGCUGCAUUUAUUUUUACAAAAAUACAUUAAAAAUGUAAAUAUUAUUACAGUUUAAAAUAGCUGUUUUCUAUGUGUAUAACUGUUAAAAUAUAAUUUAUUGUUGUGAUACAAUCUGAAUUUUCAGCAUCAUUUCUCCAGUCUUUAGAAAUCACGAUCCUUUAGAAAUCAUUCUAAUAUGCUGAAUUGCUGCAUUUCUGAUUAUUAUCAAUGUUGGAUAUAGUUCAUAUUUUGUAGAAACCAUGACACAUUUUAUUUUUCGGGAUUCUUUGAUGAAUACAAAGUUCAAAAGAACAGUGUUUAUUGAAAAGAGAAAUAUUUUGUAAUGUUAUGAAUGUCUUUACUGUCACUAUUGAUCAAUUUAAUGUAUACUUUAUGGAGUAUUACCUUCUUCUCUAAACCGUGACCCUGAAAACAACAUGUGACCUAUGACCCUUGGACAGUUGAAUAUAUUGGGCCAUCAGGGUUCAAGUUCUUAUCAUCUGAAACAAAACUUCAUUUUAAACUUGCAGAAAAAUCUUCAUGAACUCCUGGCAGCUUGGCGGCACGUCCGGUUGAUUUACACUGAUUAUGACAGUAAAUAUGCUGCGCACAAUCAGCAGAGCAAAGCUGUAAUGUAUGUGUGUAUGUACUCAUGAAUCACGGCUGUUGAUUUGGGUGUAAUGACGCCGCAUCAGAGAUGAGUCUGACAGAGAUGGAGACGCCGAGACCUUAUUUACACCAACUGCACGAAUCAUUAAAUGUUCACCGAUUCGUCUCUGAGCUAUUGUAUGAAUCAUUCCUCAUCAGAGAUUUCAGUGAAGAAAAAACACGAUGAUUCAUGUGAACUGAGCAGCGCUUGUCACUGCCAUCGCUUCAGUUUAUUUCUGUUGCUACCGAUGCCGGGCAAUUUGGAUGCAUUUCUGUUUGGAACUAAUUAUGAACAUUACAGAUGGCCUGUAAUGGUUUUUCCAGAAUCUGCUGCGUGCGUUUGCCAGCAAACAGUUUAAUGUGCUAUUGUUUUCUUUGGGCUGCAAACAGCAGAACUCUAGCAGCGUAAUGUUUGAAGAACACACUGCUGUCAUUAAAGCAAGAGAAACAUCAUCAAGUUAAUAAAAAAGUAUAAUUAAAAAUGUUAACUGGUAUG